ACAGAGGCCACGAGCGUUAGGCGGAAUCACUGGGCUUAAAGCGUGUGUAGGCGGAGGUGUAAGUGUCUUGUGAAAUCCCACGGCUCAACCGUGGAACUGCUGGGCAUACUGCGUCUCUUGAGCCGGCCAGGGGUCACCGGAACAAGCGGUGGAGCGGUGAAAUGCGUAGAUAUCGCUUGGAACGCCAACGGUGAAAACAGGUGACUGGGGCCGCGCUGACGCUGAGACACGAAAGCCAGGGGAGCGAACGGGA
This 253-nucleotide ribosomal RNA is filed under the name uncultured prokaryote. RNAcentral's name for it is "partial 16S ribosomal RNA". It matches the Rfam family "Bacterial small subunit ribosomal RNA", at positions 525 to 777 of the family's 1533-position model. The record is from RNAcentral.